CGAGGUUUCUUCUGUUGGAGAGAGAGGGACAGGGGUCCCCCACCCCAUCACCCCCGACACCCCCAAACCACUGAGCCGUGCACCUACGUCUGGUAGGAGAGAGACAUGGACAGACCCGCUUUCCCCGAAAUGAAGGCCCCCCCCACGCCACGGCAGCUCCACAAAACGGCCCCCAGCCCCAGCGGUCCUGGCCGGGAUGACCGGGGGCCUCGACGCGCCCCGGGCCAGCCCGCCGCCCUCUGGGCCUCCUGCCUGUGCCUUCCUGCCACCUCCAAUGAGGUCCCUGAGGGGACGUCCCGCUGGAGAGGGACCCGGAGAGCCGAGGGCUCCUGGGAGCACGCUCUGUCCCCGCUUAGCCCCUGGGAGUGGGGCUUCCCGGCCAAAGCUCUGGUGUCCAUAGCUUGGACAGUUGGGGUAAGGCCAUGCCUCUCUGGGGAGUCUUGGUCAGAGGUCAGGUUCAAGGCCCCUCUAGGCAUCCCCAGCCUGAUGCGCUCCUCCCCCCAUGCCCUCUCGGGGCGUGGCCAGUGGGUGAUGGAGCCUGGGAAGGGAGAGCCCCCCCAAUAUCCCCCCCAGGCAGGAGGGGUCCGUGACCCCUGCACUGUGUCCUGCAGGCCGGGCCCUUCGAGCCGCCCCUUGCAUAAGGCAGGCCCCUGUGAGCCACUUCCUGUCCUAGCUCCGACUCCCAUUGGGCCCUCCUUCCUCCUGGUGCUAAUUUGGGGACCCUGGGGGGCGGCCCAGGACCUGCUUGGACCAGGGCGCUGGGUCCCUCCAGCCGUACCCCAGAGAUCAGGCCACUGCCGGCUCCACUGGGCUUGGCACAUUUCGGGCAGCGGCGGGCGCACGCAGCCCGGGGCAGGGGGCUUCCUCAGCAGAGUCCCCUGCGCUGCCCACCCGACGUGAGCCUGUCCCCCUCUGGCCAGGAGGGGUGAGGGGUUCCCCCCGGAUGCAGCCACACAUGCCCCCAGAGGCACAUCUAUGCGCACGCUCACAGACCCACACCUGUGGGCUGUGGCCCGUGAGGCCCCAUCUCGGCCCGCCCCGGGGGCCUCCGGCCUGGUGCCAAGGGCAGGUGCAGGGCCCACCUCCGGCCGCAGCCUAGACCCCGACUCAGCUCUGCCCCGCGGUGGCGGGG
This 1132-nucleotide long non-coding RNA is filed under the name Neogale vison (American mink). RNAcentral's name for it is "Neovison vison (American mink) lncRNA (ENSNVIG00000007753.1)". Lineage: Eukaryota; Metazoa; Chordata; Mammalia; Carnivora; Mustelidae. The record is from RNAcentral.